This 45-nucleotide transfer RNA is filed under the name Sedum caeruleum. RNAcentral describes it as "partial tRNA-His". Lineage: Eukaryota; Viridiplantae; Streptophyta; Magnoliopsida; Saxifragales; Crassulaceae. RNAcentral also lists the same sequence under 6 other names. The record is from RNAcentral.
GGCGGAUGUAGCCAAGUGGAUCAAGGCAGUGGAUUUGUGAAUCCA